This is a long non-coding RNA of Hyaena hyaena (striped hyena), 616 nucleotides long. RefSeq lists it as uncharacterized. The transcript is spliced from 2 exons. The record is from RefSeq and is a predicted model, not a curated record. Lineage: Eukaryota; Metazoa; Chordata; Mammalia; Carnivora; Hyaenidae.
CCUCUUCCAGUUGCGGAGGUCGGAAGUCCGAAACGAGCGCCACUGGGCUAAAGUCAAGGGCCGUGCAGCCCCUUCUGAAGGAGAUGAGGGAAGGCAUGAAGAGGGGAGAGAGGGGCCGUCCAGGUGGACUAGAUGCCGGCCGAGUCACUGUAUAAACCAACCCAAGACCGCCUGUCUCGAGUCCCUGUUACAGCAGAUAAUGACUGUCGGACGCUCAAGUCACCUGUGGCCAGUUUUCAUACUGCUUCCGGCCAAAGAAAUUCGAGCUGUUUGGAGAGCUUCCUCCGUGGCUCAUGCGGCCUCAGCCAAACCAACCCAGGCUCCGUGCUGGAGGAAGCUUCAAGACUUUGCACUCUAGGAACUAGAGUGCCAGGAGGCAUGGCCGUUCCAGAAUCGUCACCGUAUCCCUCUCCGGCUAGGUCUGCCGAGGGCUCCGAAGGCUUCACUUCUCCCACCACCAGGAUUCAUUCGGCAACUGACAACCCAUUUCGCUGUAUGUGAGCUUCCAAAUUCCCCGAGUCUCUCUUCCCUUAUCUGCAGACUAAGCUAAGAUCUACAACUGCCUUUCUAACAAGAUCUUUGCAUGAAUUAAAUGAGAUGAUGGAUUAUUUUUAAA